GAUGAACGCUAGCGGCAGGCCUAACACAUGCAAGUCGAGGGAGAAGCCCUUUCGGGGGCCGAAACCGGCGCACGGGUGCGUAACGCGUAUGCAACCUACCUUUCACAGGGGGAUAGCCCGAAGAAAUUUGGAUUAAUACCCCAUAAUAUUAUUGGAUGGCAUCAUUUGAUAAUUAAAACUGCGGUGGUGAAAGAUGGGCAUGCGUCCUAUUAGCUAGUUGGAGUGGUAACGGCACCCCAAGGCUACGAUAGGUAGGGGUCCUGAGAGGGAGAUCCCCCACACUGGUACUGAGACAGGGACCAGACUCCUACGGGAGGCAGCAGUGAGGAAUAUUGGGCAAGGGUCGGAAGACUGAACCAGCCAUGCCGCGUGCAGGAAGAAUGCCUUAUGGGUUGUAAACUGCUUUUAUAUGGGAAGAAUAAGGCGUACGUGUACGUUGAUGACGGUACCAUAUGAAUAAGCAUCGGCUAACUCCGUG
This 478-nucleotide ribosomal RNA is filed under the name uncultured bacterium. RNAcentral's name for it is "partial 16S ribosomal RNA". It matches the Rfam family "Bacterial small subunit ribosomal RNA", at positions 28 to 507 of the family's 1533-position model. The record is from RNAcentral.